Molecule: ribosomal RNA, 500 nt
Filed under: uncultured Glomeromycotina
Lineage: Eukaryota; Fungi; Glomeromycota
Description: partial small subunit ribosomal RNA
Rfam family: Eukaryotic small subunit ribosomal RNA
Source: RNAcentral
CCAAUAGCGUAUAUUAAAGUUGUUGCAGUUAAAAAGCUCGUAGUUGAACUUCGGGAUCAAUGGAUUGGUCAUGCCGUUGGUAUGUACUGGUCAUAUUGGUUCUCACCUUCUAAGGAACCAUAAUGUCAUUCAUUUGAUGUUUUGGGGAAUUAGGACUGUUACCUUGAAAAAAUUAGAGUGUUUAAAGCAGGCUAACGCUUGAAUACAUUAGCAUGGAAUAAUGAAAUAGGACAUCGCAUUCUAUUUUGUUGGUUUCUAGGAUCGAUGUAAUGAUUAAUAGGGAUAGUUGGGGGCAUUAGUAUUCAAUUGUCAGAGGUGAAAUUAUUGGAUUUAUUGAAGACUAACUACUGCGAAAGCAUUUGCCAAGGAUGUUUUCAUUAAUCAAGAACGAAAGUUAGGGGAUCGAAGACGAUCAGAUACCGUCGUAGUCUUAACCAUAAACUAUGCCGACUAGGGAUCGGAUGAUGUUGAUUUUUUAAUGACUCAUUCGGCACCUUACG